Camelus ferus (Wild Bactrian camel) is the source of this 73-nucleotide transfer RNA. It matches the Rfam family "tRNA". Rfam says of the family: Transfer RNA (tRNA) molecules are approximately 80 nucleotides in length. Their secondary structure includes four short double-helical elements and three loops (D, anti-codon, and T loops). The record is from Rfam. Lineage: Eukaryota; Metazoa; Chordata; Mammalia; Artiodactyla; Camelidae.
GAGGGUAUAACUCAAAUGGUAGCGUGCAUGCUUAGCAUGCAUGAGGUCCUGGGUUUAAUCCCUAGUACUUCCU